GUGGCAGGUGCCUAUAGUCCCAGCUACUUGGGAGGCUGAGGCAGUAGGAUCGUUUGAACCCAGGGCCUUGUUGCUGUGAGGUAGGCUGACCCUGCUGCAGCACUGUAGCUGGGCAACAGAGUAUGUGUCUCCAAAAAAAAAAAAAAAAAAAAAAUCACAUGGCCUGGGGGGUAGCUAGGUAAGGAAAGGGAGGAUUCUGAGGGCAAUGUGCAAACUGUAAAUACUGAUUUAUUUAGAAGGAAAGAAUUGGCUUUUUCUCCUCUCUACAUUUCCCAAUUUUCUUUUAAUAAGAAUGUUUAAUUUCCGUAAUGGAAAACAGUAAGAGCUACAAGGCCAUUGGUAACACUGCUGCAUGGGAAGGCAGUGGGAAGGGAAAGCACUCAUGACAAGCAGCACCUGGAACUGGAGGGGCAAAGAGUUGAUUACCAGGGGUAGGUUUUCUCCCCUUUUGUAACAAACAGCUUGACUUGCCCAGAUGUGAUGCUGGUGGGCCAGAGUGGCCAAAGGAAAAAAAAAAAAAGUCUCAAAUUGAUCUUCUCAAAGACCACUCCCCCUGGGCAGCACCUGUGGCUCAAGGAGUAGGGCGCCAGUCCCAUAUGCCAGAGGUGGCGGGUUCUAAACCUAGCCCCGGCCAGGAAAAAAAACCAAAAAAAAAAAAAAAAAAGUU
Molecule: long non-coding RNA, 667 nt
Organism: Nycticebus coucang (slow loris)
Lineage: Eukaryota; Metazoa; Chordata; Mammalia; Primates; Lorisidae
Exons: 2
Source: RefSeq, a predicted model, not a curated record